RNAcentral lists this ribosomal RNA (331 nucleotides) under uncultured Elusimicrobia bacterium. Its description in RNAcentral is "bacterial SSU rRNA". It matches the Rfam family "Bacterial small subunit ribosomal RNA", at positions 29 to 351 of the family's 1533-position model. The record is from RNAcentral. Lineage: Bacteria; Pseudomonadati; Elusimicrobiota; Elusimicrobia.
AGUGAACGCUGGCGGCGUGCUUAACACAUGCAAGUCGAGCGAAUCUUGGCAGCGUAUCGCCGAGGUUAGCGGCAGACGGGUGAGUAAUACUUGGGCAAUCUGCCCAUCAGAGGGAAACAACCUGCCGAAAGGCGGGCUAAUGUCCCAUAAGACCACAGAGUUGCAUAACUCAGGGGUCAAAGCUUCGCAAGGGGCGCUGGUGGAGGAGCCCGAGUCCUAUCAUGGUAGUUGGUGGGGUAACGGCCCACCAAGCCGUUGACGGGUAGCCGACCUGAAAGGGCGAUCGGCCACACUGGCACUGAGACACGGGCCAGACUCCUACGGGAGGCUG